This 86-nucleotide small RNA is filed under the name pig gut metagenome. RNAcentral describes it as "GA-cis RNA". It matches the Rfam family "GA-cis RNA". The record is from RNAcentral.
AUAGGAGAAAGCAUCAUAAGCGGAGCGAAUGAUUCAGGAUGCUUUCGACGACCUGCCGCCGAGCGUAUGCGAGGGGCAAUACCAUA